UACGUAGGUCCCGAGCGUUGUCCGGAUUUAUUGGGCGUAAAGCGAACGCAGGUGGUUUAUUAAGUCUGGUGUAAAAGGCAGUGGCUCAACCAUUGUAUGCAUUGGAAACUGGUAGACUUGAGUGCAGGAGAGGAGAGUGGAAUUCCAUGUGUAGCGGUGAAAUGCGUAGAUAUAUGGAGGAACACCGGUAGCGAAAGCGGCUCUCUGGCCUGUAACUGACACUGAGGCUCGAAAGCGUGGGGAGCAAACAGG
This 252-nucleotide ribosomal RNA is filed under the name uncultured bacterium. Its description in RNAcentral is "partial 16S ribosomal RNA". It matches the Rfam family "Bacterial small subunit ribosomal RNA", at positions 524 to 776 of the family's 1533-position model. The record is from RNAcentral.